UUCCGGUUGAUCCCGCCGGACCUGACUGCUAUCGGAUUGAUACUAAGCCAUGCGAGUCAUUGUAGCAAUACAAGGCAUACGGCUCAGUAACGCGUAGUCAACCUAACCUAUGGACGGGAAUAACCUCGGGAAACUGAGAAUAAUGCCCGAUAGAACAUUAUACCUGGAAUGGUUUAUGUUCCAAAUGAUUUAUCGCCGUAGGAUGGGACUGCGGCCUAUCAGUUUGUUGGUGAGGUAAUGGCCCACCAAGACUAUUACAGGUACGGGCUCUGAGAGGAGUAGCCCGGAGAUGGGUACUGAGACACGGACCCAGGCCCUAUGGGGCGCAGCAGGCGAGAAAACUUUGCAAUGUGCGAAAGCACGACAAGGUUAAUCCGAGUGAUUUCUGCUAAAGAAAUCUUUUGUUAGUCCUAGAAACACUAACGAAUAAGGGGUGGGCAAGUUCUGGUGUCAGCCGCCGCGGUAAAACCAGCACCUCAAGUGGUCAGGAUGAUUAUUGGGCCUAAAGCAUCCGUAGCCGGCUCUGUAAGUUUUCGGUUAAAUCUGUACGCUUAACGUACAGGCCGCCGGGAAUACUGCAAAGCUAGGGAGUGGGAGAAGUAGACGGUACUCGGUAGGAAGUGGUAAAAUGCUUUGAUCUAUCGAUGACCACCUGUGGCGAAGGCGGUCUACUAGAACACGUCCGACGGUGAGGGAUGAAAGCUGGGGGAGCAAACCGGAUUAGAUACCCGGGUAGUCCCAGCUGUAAACUAUGCAAACUCAGUGAUGCAUUGGCUUGUGGCCAAUGCAGUGCUGCAGGGAAGCCGUUAAGUUUGCCGCCUGGGAAGUACGUACGCAAGUAU
This 842-nucleotide ribosomal RNA is filed under the name uncultured archaeon. RNAcentral's name for it is "bacterial SSU rRNA". It matches the Rfam family "Archaeal small subunit ribosomal RNA", at positions 1 to 850 of the family's 1478-position model. The record is from RNAcentral.